Molecule: ribosomal RNA, 642 nt
Filed under: uncultured bacterium
Lineage: Bacteria
Description: bacterial SSU rRNA
Rfam family: Bacterial small subunit ribosomal RNA
Source: RNAcentral
UAAAGAAUUAUCGCUGAUAGAUGGGCAUGCGUUCCAUUAGAUAGUUGGUGAGGUAACGGCUCACCAAGUCCACGAUGGAUAGGGGUUCUGAGAGGAAGGUCCCCCACACUGGUACUGAGACACGGACCAGACUCCUACGGGAGGCAGCAGUGAGGAAUAUUGGUCAAUGGGCGAGAGCCUGAACCAGCCAAGUCGCGUGAAGGAUGAAGGAUCUAUGGUUUGUAAACUUCUUUUAUAUGGGAAUAAAGUGAGGAACGUGUUCCUUUUUGUAUGUACCAUAUGAAUAAGCAUCGGCUAACUCCGUGCCAGCAGCCGCGGUAAUACGGAGGAUGCGAGCGUUAUCCGGAUUUAUUGGGUUUAAAGGGUGCGUAGGUGGUUAAUUAAGUCAGCGGUGAAAGUUUGUGGCUCAACCAUAAAAUUGCCGUUGAAACUGGUUGACUUGAGUAUAUUUGAGGUAGGCGGAAUGCGUGGUGUAGCGGUGAAAUGCAUAGAUAUCACGCAGAACUCCGAUUGCGAAGGCAGCUUACUAAACUAUAACUGACACUGAAGCACGAAAGCGUGGGGAUCAAACAGGAUUAGAUACCCUGGUAGUCCACGCAGUAAACGAUGAUUACUAGCUGUUUGCGAUACACAGUAAGCGGC